AGUGAACGCUGGCGGCAGGCCUAACACAUGCAAGUCGAACGGCAGCACAAGAGAGCUUGCUCUCUGGGUGGCGAGUGGCGGACGGGUGAGGAAUGCAUCGGAAUCUGCCCAUUUGUGGGGGAUAACCUCGGGAAACCGGGACUAAUACCGCAUACGACCUACGGGUGAAAGCAGGGGAUCUUCGGACCUUGCGCAGAUGGAUGAGCCGAUGCCGGAUUAGCUAGUUGGAGGGGUAAAGGCCCACCAAGGCGACGAUCCGUAGCUGGUCUUAGAGGAUGAUCAGCCACACUGGGACUGAGACACGGCCCAGACUCCUACGGGAGGCAGCAGUGGGGAAUAUUGGACAAUGGGCGCAAGCCUGAUCCAGCCAUGCCGCGUGUGUGAAGAAGGCCUUCGGGUUGUAAAGCACUUUUGUUGGGAAAGAAAAGCAGCCGGUUAAUACCCGGUUGUCAUGACGGUACCCAAAGAAUAAGCACCGGCUAACUUCGUG
This 490-nucleotide ribosomal RNA is filed under the name uncultured bacterium. Its description in RNAcentral is "partial 16S ribosomal RNA". It matches the Rfam family "Bacterial small subunit ribosomal RNA", at positions 29 to 507 of the family's 1533-position model. The record is from RNAcentral.